UUGAAGGUUGGGUAACACUAACUGGAGGACCGAACCGACUAAUGUUGAAAAAUUAGCGGAUGACCUGUGGCUGGGGGUGAAAGGCCAAUCAAACCGGGAGAUAGCUGGUUCUCCCCGAAAGCUAUUUAGGUAGCGCCUCGUGAAUUCAUCUCCGGGGGUAGAGCACUGUUUCGGCUAGGGGGCCAUCCCGGCUUACCAACCCGAUGCAAACUGCGAAUACCGGAGAAUGUUAUCACGGGAGACACACGGCGGGUGCUAACGUCCGUCGUGAAGAGGGAAACAACCCAGACCGCCAGCUAAGGUCCCAAAGUCAUGGUUAAGUGGGAAACGAUGUGGGAAGGCCCAGACAGCCAGGAUGUUGGCUUAGAAGCAGCCAUCAUUUAAAGAAAGCGUAAUAGCUCACUGGUCGAGUCGGCCUGCGCGGAAGAUGUAACGGGGCUAAACCAUGCACCGAAGCUGCGGCAGCGACACUGUGUGUUGUUGGGUAGGGGAGCGUUCUGUAAGCCUGUGAAGGUGUGUCGUGAGGCAUGCUGGAGGUAUCAGAAGUGCGAAUGCUGACAUAAGUAACGAUAAAGCGGGUGAAAAGCCCGCUCGCCGGAAGACCAAGGGUUCCUGUCCAACGUUAAUCGGGGCAGGGUGAGUCGACCCCUAAGGCGAGGCCGAAAGGCGUAGUCGAUGGGAAACGGGUUAAUAUUCCCGUACUUGGUGUUACUGCGAAGGGGGGACGGAGAAGGCUAUGUUGGCCGGGCGACGGUUGUCCCGGUUUAAGCGUGUAGGUGUGUGUUCCAGGUAAAUCCGGUUCACUUUAACACUGAGGCGUGACGACGAGGCACUACGGUGCUGAAGCAACAAAUGCCCUGCUUCCAGGAAAAGCCUCUAAGCAUCAGGUAACAUCAAAUCGUACCCCAAACCGACACAGGUGGUCAGGUAGAGAAUACCAAGGCGCUUGAGAGAACUCGGGUGAAGGAACUAGGCAAAAUGGUGCCGUAACUUCGGGAGAAGGCACGCUGACACGUAGGUGAAGUGAUUUACUCAUGGAGCUGAAGUCAGUCGAAGAUACCAGCUGGCUGCAACUGUUUAUUAAAAACACAGCACUGUGCAAACACGAAAGUGGACGUAUACGGUGUGACGCCUGCCCGGUGCCGGAAGGUUAAUUGAUGGGGUCAGCGCAAGCGAAGCUCCUGAUCGAAGCCCCGGUAAACGGCGGCCGUAACUAUAACGGUCCUAAGGUAGCGAAAUUCCUUGUCGGGUAAGUUCCGACCUGCACGAAUGGCGUAAUGAUGGCCAGGCUGUCUCCACCCGAGACUCAGUGAAAUUGAACUCGCUGUGAAGAUGCAGUGUACCCGCGGCAAGACGGAAAGACCCCGUGAACCUUUACUAUAGCUUGACACUGAACAUUGAGCCUUGAUGUGUAGGAUAGGUGGGAGGCUUUGAAGUGUGGACGCCAGUCUGCAUGGAGCCGACCUUGAAAUACCACCCUUUAAUGUUUGAUGUUCUAACGUGGACCCGUUACCCGGGUUGCGGACAGUGUCUGGUGGGUAGUUUGACUGGGGCGGUCUCCUCCUAAAGAGUAACGGAGGAGCACGAAGGUUGGCUAAUCCUGGUCGGACAUCAGGAGGUUAGUGCAAUGGCAUAAGCCAGCUUGACUGCGAGCGUGACGGCGCGAGCAGGUGCGAAAGCAGGUCAUAGUGAUCCGGUGGUUCUGAAUGGAAGGGCCAUCGCUCAACGGAUAAAAGGUACUCCGGGGAUAACAGGCUGAUACCGCCCAAGAGUUCAUAUCGACGGCGGUGUUUGGCACCUCGAUGUCGGCUCAUCACAUCCUGGGGCUGAAGUAGGUCCCAAGGGUAUGGCUGUUCGCCAUUUAAAGUGGUACGCGAGCUGGGUUUAGAACGUCGUGAGACAGUUCGGUCCCUAUCUGCCGUGGGCGCUGGAGAACUGAGGGGGGCUGCUCCUAGUACGAGAGGACCGGAGUGGACGCAUCACUGGUGUUCGGGUUGUCAUGCCAAUGGCACUGCCCGGUAGCUAAAUGCGGAAGAGAUAAGUGCUGAAAGCAUCUAAGCACGAAACUUGCCCCGA
RNAcentral lists this ribosomal RNA (2076 nucleotides) under Salmonella enterica. RNAcentral describes it as "partial 23S ribosomal RNA". It matches the Rfam family "Bacterial large subunit ribosomal RNA", at positions 745 to 2802 of the family's 2925-position model. RNAcentral also lists the same sequence under 2 other names. Lineage: Bacteria; Pseudomonadati; Pseudomonadota; Gammaproteobacteria; Enterobacterales; Enterobacteriaceae. The record is from RNAcentral.